GACGAACGCUGGCGGCGUGCUUAACACAUGCAAGUCGAGCGGAAAGGCCACUUCGGUGGUACUCGAGCGGCGAACGGGUGAGUAACACGUGAGUAAUCUGCCCCUGGCUUUGGGAUAGCCACCGGAAACGGUGAUUAAUACCGGAUACGACAACUUCUUGCAUGAGAUGGUUGUGGAAAGUUUUUCGGCCAGGGAUGUGCUCGCGGCCUAUCAGCUUGAUGGUGAGGUAAUGGCUCACCAUGGCUUCGACGGGUAGCCGGCCUGAGAGGGUGACCGGCCACACUGGGACUGAGACACGGCCCAGACUCCUACGGGAGGCAGCAGUGGGGAAUAUUGGACAAUGGGCGGAAGCCUGAUCCAGCAACGCCGCGUGAGGGAUGACGGCCUUCGGGUUGUAAACCUCUUUCAGUAGGGACGAAGCGAAAGUGACGGUACCUACAGAAGAAGGACCGGCCAACUACGUGCCAGCAGCCGCGGUAAUACGUAGGGUCCGAGCGUUGUCCGGAAUUAUUGGGCGUAAAGGGCUCGUAGGCGGUCUGUCACGUCGGGAGUGAAAACUCAGGGCUCAACCCUGAGCGUGCUUCCGAUACGGGCGGACUAGAGGUAUGCAGGGGAGAACGGAAUUCCUGGUGUAGCGGUGGAAUGCGCAGAUAUCAGGAGGAACACCGGUGGCGAAGGCGGUUCUCUGGGCAUUACCUGACGCUGAGGAGCGAAAGCAUGGGGAGCGAACAGGAUUAGAUACCCUGGUAGUCCAUGCCGUAAACGUUGGGCACUAGUGUGGGGACCNUCCACGGUCUCCGUGCCGCAGCUAACGCAUUAAGUGCCCCGCCUGGGAGUACGGCCGCAGAAUGAA
This 853-nucleotide ribosomal RNA is filed under the name uncultured bacterium. Its description in RNAcentral is "bacterial SSU rRNA". It matches the Rfam family "Bacterial small subunit ribosomal RNA", at positions 28 to 898 of the family's 1533-position model. The record is from RNAcentral.